RNAcentral lists this long non-coding RNA (5408 nucleotides) under Sus scrofa (pig). RNAcentral's name for it is "lncRNA (ENSSSCG00000052758.1)". The record is from RNAcentral. Lineage: Eukaryota; Metazoa; Chordata; Mammalia; Artiodactyla; Suidae.
CAAGGACUGAGAAUUUAGGGACUUACCCCAAGCCUCAGAGUUAUCAUCUCAUGUGGGAAGGAGAUUCAUGGCUCCUGGACUCUGCUGUGAUAUUAGAGCUUGAUUUGGAGGUAGUUACUUGAUUUCCUGGGCACUUAUCUAAGGCAGAACAUUCUGAACAGAACCUCCAUUCUGUUUCAGAGAUGACGAGAUGCUUCCACUGAAGCCAGCCAGACAGGGACAUUAGUCUAUGAAUUUGGUUUCUGCAAAACACAUACUGAUUCACUUUCUCAUGGCUCUUGAUGCUCAGAAUUGUCCCAUCAUCAUCCAGUUCUUUACUUUUGCUGUGUUUAGUUUACCCGAGAGGGAAAAAAUUGAACCGAGCAACACAAGAUAUGUGGAUAAUAAAAAAAAAUUAAAUAAACAUUUCUUCCCCUAAGGUUAAAAGGAAAGAGAAGGAUUCAAAUAAAACCUAAGAAUAAUGGUGCAUUUAUAAUAAACAUCAUAUUCCUUGCCUUGGCUCUAUGAUGUCAUCACUAUUAUUUACAUAACAUUCCAGACAGUGCAGCCCAAACUGGUGAUGCUGCAUCAAAGGGUGGGAAGCCUCACACUUACUGUUAUAUAUCAGUAUAGUCAUUUUAUUCAUAUACAAAUAAAUGAACUUACUAUGCAGUAUAUUAAGUGAUAAAUGCAAAGAAGAAAAAUAAAGAAGGAGAGGAGAGGUGAUGGUGAUGACAGGUGGGCAGCCUUAGAUAGCCAUAGGAACGUCUUAUUUUAAACACUUUCCAGGUUUGCAAGCUAUGCCCUAAACAGCACUAUAUGGAAUAGAUGUGGCCAAAGCCACCAGCACUAAGAAAAUGGGGUCACAGCCAUGGAGAUGAGGCAUUUGACCCUUGUGCAUGCACCUAGUUCUCUGCAGAUAGUGCAAAAGCAAGUGGAUGUAUAACCAUACCCCAUUUUCUUCAAUUUAACUGUUAUAAUGUUUAUUUUUAUUUGUAUCCAGAAAGAAUUCCGACAUAGAGAAUAUCAACUUUAUUUUUCAAUAUAAAAGCCAAGUUAUUAUACAUAAUUUUAACAGUGAUUCGAGUGACAGAUCAACUAACAAAUGUUUAAUUUAAAUCUACUUAAAGAGGACUCUUUCCUUCCUUUUUUAAAAAUGUUUAUUUAAUUAAAUAUUUUUAAUUUUUUUUGGGGUCUCAAGUUGAAGUCACUUUUGAAGCAGCUUUCCUGGAUGGAAUUGACACCAAGAGCUACUGCUAUGUUCUCUCACUUUUUUCCUUUUAUUAUAACAUGAAUGGUUCACAGAAGGGCUGUGUUCUGUGAAUAUUGGAAACUACAAAUAUAGAAUUGAGCCCUUUGCAGAGAUUUUGCAGCUGGAGUGAUGACAGACUGGAUUUUACUGAGGAACAGAGUCUAAGUCAUACCAUUCAGGUGUCUACCAAAUCUGAGAGGCUGAAAAUCCAGUGCACGUGGAAACUAUAAAACCCCUGUGCGUUUGACAGUGAUUUUCUCUGCAUGAUGAGGGAGAGGGAGAGGAGGGAGCCUGGAAGUCCUGUAGCAAUGAGAUGACCAGUAUGCGGACCUAAACACCUCCUUGCAGUGGUGUGGCGGGCAGAAUCCUGGCCCUCUUAAAGAUGGCCACACUUUAAUCCCCGGAACCUGUGAAUGUGUUACUUUCUCUGGCAAAGGAACUUGGGCGAUGUGAUUAAGUGUAUGCACCUUGAGGGGGGGACCUUAUCUUGGAUUAUUCAUGCAGACCCCAUCUAAUCUGGCUUGGCCAUAGAGAGAAGCGAUGGAAGAGGAGGGAGAAAUUCAGAGUGUGAGGGCUCAGCAUUGCUGCCUUUAAAGGUGAAGGAAGGGGACAAUGACCCAAGGCAUGUGGCAUCCUCUGGAGGCUUGGAAUGGCCCUUGGCCAAUAGCCGGGAAGGAAAGAGAGACGCCAAUUCUACAGAUACAGGAACUGAUGCACCAAUAACCUGUAUGAUCAAGGAAAGGUAUCUUUACCUAGAGCCUCCAAGAAGGAACAUAGUCCUUCUAGUACCUUAAUUGCAGCUGGAUGAGACCCAUAUCAGACGUCUGAUCUACAAAACUAUAAGCCAUGCUCUUUGGGGUAAUUUGUUAGAGCAGUGGUAGGAAACUAUUACAAAUGUUAAGAAAGGAAUGAAAAAGAUGAAGCGUGGGGUUUUCUUUGGGUCACUUUUAGGACUUGGAACAAGCUACCAUGUGGAAUGAGGCAAAACUCUAUUUGCUUUCAUAUUUUGAAAACACUCAUUAUUGACAACUCAGGGAAACAUCUGGGUCAGUGAAAAUAAUGGAUAAAGGACACAUCUACCCAAGAAUCAGACUAUGAUGAUGUGGUAUAUAGUUCUUCCUUUUCAGACAGGUCCAGGAGAUAGGAGACAUAGCCUUUUUGUUGCAACAUUAAAAAUUAACUUCCAAAUUCUUUUAGUGAACUCUUUCUCUUCUUGUUUUCAGGUAGGUGUCAAUUGCAAUUGCUCAAGCGUCUUACGACAAUUAAUCAUUUGACAUGGAAAGAUGAUGUAGCCAGGAGUUAGGUCCAUUUUUAUAUCAACUUCUUUGCUUUUUCUCUGCAGUUUAUUGAAUCUUUUACAGUAUCCGUGCUUGAGUAUAUAGCUGACCCUUGAACCACUUGAGGGUCAGGGGUGCCAACCUUUCAUAUUAUUGAAAAUCUGUGUAUAAUUUAUAGUCCACCCUUCAAAUUCGUGGUGCCUCCACAUUCAUGGCUCCUCACCCCGUCUUUCUUCUGUGACCGGAGGAAACACACCUGGUUCCGCAUCCGCAGAUCCAGCCACCUCCGGUGGUCUAGUUCUAUAUUAUUUAGUAUAGCCAAAAUCCACUUGUAAGUUGACCUGUGCCCUUCAAACCCAUGUUGUUCCACGGUCAGCUCUAAUCUUUCUCCCUCACUUGGCUUUGUUUCACCUUAAUUCAGAUUGCUCUGAGAGGCAGGGUCUGAGUCUGUUAAAGGUAUACACACACAAGUAGGCCUUGUGAGGUCCAUCCUGCAUGGGUGUAGUCUCCUUAAUAGGGUUAAGCUGUUGUGUUUGUGCCCGUGUGUUGUUUUAGGUUGGGCACAAGCCUGACAGAUCUUCUCCUCCUUAGGCCCAAGGCAGAGCAUUUCAGGCCUGUUAUGGACAGUUCACAUAUUGAGGCCAAAGAGACUGUAUUUGGAGAUGAGGCCUCUAAGGGGGUAAAUAAGGUUAAAUGAGUAGGAGUAGGCCCUGUAUGAUAAUAUGACUAAUGUCUUUUUUUUUUUUUUUUUGGUCUUUUUGCCUUUUCCUGGGCCACUCCUGCGGCAUAUGGAGGUUCCCAGGCUAGGGGUCCAAUUGGAGCUGUAGCUGCCGGCCUACACCAGAGCCACAGCAACGCCAGAUCCGAGCUGCGUCUGUGACCUACACCACAGCUCACGGCAACGCCAGAUCCUUAACCCAUGGAGCGAGGCCAGGGAUCGAACCCACAACCUCAUGGUUCCUAGUCAGAUUGUUAACCCCUGUGUCAUGACGGGAACUCCCUAAUGUCCUUUUAAGAAGGAGAGACGCCAGAGCUCUCUCCUUCUCUGCACUCAUAGAGGAAAGACCAGAUGAGGCCCCAGCAAGAAUGAGGCUUUCUGGAAGUCAGGAGGAGUGAUCUCACCAGAAACCAAAUUUGCUGGCACCUCGAUCAGGAACUUUGAGCCUCCGGAAUUGUGAGAAAAUACAUUUGUAUUGUUUAAGCCAUCCAGUCUGUGGUAGUUUGUUAUGGAAGCCCUGGCAGAUUAAUACAAGAGGACUUCAGGAGUUUGCAUUUCAUUCUGGGAAGUCCUUGAGGCAAAUUAAUUUUGGGACAUGCGGCCCUGUCCACUUUACAUUUGAAAGCAAAUACCUCUGGCUGUUGUGUAGAAAAUGACAUGCAAAGGAAGGAGAGAAUAGAAAUGGAAAGUUAGCGGAGAGCCCGCAUGAGAGACGACAUUCUCGAAGGUCUGACUGUGUAAAGCAAAAAUGACAGCUCUAAAUGGUGCAGCUUAUAGCAGGUGAGGCUAGAAUACGUAUCACUGCAAGAGCCAGAGUGGAGAUUUAGGGUUCACAGACUUAUGCUGUGGAAAGGUGUGCUUUCCACGUAAGAGUCCACUGUUAACACUAAAUUGUGAUAAUUUUGUGGUUCAUCAUGUAACCUCUGGGUUAACAUGAAAAAGUUACAAGACGUAUAGCUAAAAAGACAAUAAAGGAACUUAAAAGAAAUACUAAGGGUAUUUUAUUAACUCAAAAUGAGGCAGAAAAGAAAGGAUAGAGGAAAGAAAAACAGAUGGGACAAUGAGACCAAACAGCACAAUGGUAAACCCAAAUCAAGCUAUGUCUAAAAUUAUAUUCCUUGUAAGUAGAAUAAAGAUGCCAAUUAAAUGACAGAGGUUGUCAAGCAGGAGGUAAAAAAGAAGCAAGAUCUAAUUAAAUCCUAUGUACGGAAACAUACUUUAAUUACCAAAACCAGUAUAGAGUGACAGCAAAAGAAUGGGAAAAGAUAUGCCAUCCUGACAAGAAACAUGAGAGAGAUGCGAUGGCUCUAUUUAUAUUAGAUAAGCUAGAACUGAAGAUAAGAAUGAUGAUAAAGAGGGUUAUUUUAUCAUGAAAAAAACAAUACCAACUCAUCACACAAAGACAUAACAGUUAUUAAUACAUAUGUGCUUAAUAAUAGAAAUUCAAAAUACACGAAGCAAAAAUAGACAAAAUUGAAGGGAAAAGAGAUAAUUGCAUAAUGAUAUUGGAGAUAGUCACAUGUUUUCUCAAAAAUUUUUUUUUCAAAAGAAGAGGAGGUAUAAUUUUAUUAUCAACUAAGGUGGAACUCCCUGGUGAAAACAUGAAGUGGUACAAAAGGGGGAACUUUACAAUUAUAUAAGGUACAGGUCACAUCGAGAUGUCAUAGUUAUGACUGUCCACGUACCAUAUAGCAUAACACCAUUAUUCAGAAAGCAGAAAUGAUGGGAUAUUCAAGUAGAGGUGUAUUAACACACCAGCAACUAGGUACAGAGUCACCUAAAUAAACUCAAGCCAUAAGCACUGGGGAUGUAGCAAUUAAAGAAAUAGACUCCUUCCUCUGUGUAUCUUGUAUCCUACCGUGGAGAGACAGACAAUAAGCAAAAGAAGUAAAUUAUACAAUAUGGUAUAACAUGAUUGAUUCUAUGGAGGAACUGCAGUACUGAGGGUGUUCGGUUUCAAUUUGAGUGGAAUGGACAAGGAAAACCUCAGUGAGAUGGUGAAAUUGAUGGAUGUUUUGAAGGAGAUGACUGGAUAAGAGGGUGCUGAGAGAGAGACUGAUGGGAAGGAGGUAAAAGAGGCAAGGUGUAAAAAGAACAUCUUGAACAAUGUAGUUAUAUUGCCUUUUCAAAAAAUUUAAAAUAUAUUAUUUAGAGAUCUUGUCCCCUCAAUAAUUAAUACAAC